This 253-nucleotide ribosomal RNA is filed under the name uncultured bacterium. RNAcentral's name for it is "partial 16S ribosomal RNA". It matches the Rfam family "Bacterial small subunit ribosomal RNA", at positions 524 to 776 of the family's 1533-position model. The record is from RNAcentral.
UACAGAGGGGGCAAGCGUUGUUCGGAAUUACUGGGCGUAAAGGGCGCGUAGGCGGCCUUCUAAGUCGAACGUGAAAUCCCCGGGCUCAACCCGGGAACUGCGUCCGAUACUGGAAGGCUUGAAUCCGGGAGAGGGAUGUGGAAUUCCAGGUGUAGCGGUGAAAUGCGUAGAUAUCUGGAGGAAUACCGGUGGCGAAGGCGGCAUCCUGGACCGGCAUUGACGCUGAGGAGCGAAAGCCAGGGGAGCAAACGGG